CCGGAGCCUCAGUCGGGAUCGGUGCGGCUGUAGCGGUAGAGCUGGUCCGGCUCGGCAUGAAAGUGGUGGGCUGCGCCAGGGACGUCAGAAAACUCCAGGUUUGUUCUGAACUAACAAACUGGAUUUCAACAGAGAUUAUUUAAUGUAAAACUCUAAUGAAAAGGAAUUUUUAAUAUGAAGCUCUGUCAGGCAAACAUCAUAUUGGGGCUGUCGAGCAGACAGACCCUUUGUUUUACUGUGAAUAAAUUAUAAAUACUUUAAUUCUUAAAACAGGUGCAUUAGUUUAUGAUAAAGACAUUGGAGGGGAGUUAUUAUUUCCAUCUAUGCACCAAACCGAUUUCAGCUGAAAUGGAUGGAGCAAUAACAAAUUGCAUAAGGCAAUCCUAUUGAUGUACGCUUCAAAGAAGAAGAGUUGAGAGAAGCAAAAAAUAAAGAAACAAAUAAAGAAAAACAUAGUUUAUGUGGUAUAUAUUGGUCUAUAUGCAUGGGUUUCAUCUUGAUGAAUGGAGCUGUCCAAAUCCACAAAGAGCAGUAAACCUCAGGUCAACAGCCACAGCACAGGUCAGCUGAUCACAACCUGUACACAAAGAAAUCUGCUGGAGCUUAUUAUGAUUAAUUUACUCAUGCUGCAAUGAUAUAUAUAAAAAAAAAAAAAAACACCCAGCACGCCCCUGUGGGCGGUUUAUCCUUCAAGCUCGGGUCCUCUACCAGAGGCCUGGGAGCUUGAGGGUCCUGCGCAGUAUCUUAGCUGUUCCCAGGACUGCGCUCUUCUGGACAGAGAUCUCCGAUGUUAUUCCCGGGAUCUGCUGGAGCCACUCGCCUAGCUUGGGAGUCACCGCACCUAGUGCUCCGAUUACCACGGGGACCACCAUUACCUUCACCCUCCACAUCCUCUCGAGCUCUUCUCUGAGCCCUUGGUAUUUCUCCAGCUUCUCGUGUUCCUUCUUCCUGAUAUUGCUGUCAUUCGGAACCGCUACAUCGAUCACUACGGCCGUCUUCUUCUGUUUGUCUACCACCACUAUGUCCGGUUGGUUAGCCACCACCAUUUUGUCCGUCUGUAUCUGGAAGUCCCACAGGAUCUUAGCUCGGUCAUUCUCCACCACCCUUGGGGGCAUCUCCC
Molecule: long non-coding RNA, 1120 nt
Organism: Astatotilapia calliptera (eastern happy)
Lineage: Eukaryota; Metazoa; Chordata; Actinopteri; Cichliformes; Cichlidae
Source: Ensembl